AAAUGAAUUGACGGGGCCGCACAAGCGGUGGAGCAUGUGGUUUAAUUCGAUGCAACGCGAAGAACCUUACCUGGCUUGACAUCCCGGGAAUCCCCUGGAAACAGGGGAGUGCCCUUCGGGGAACCCGGUGACAGGUGCUGCAUGGCUGUCGUCAGCUCGUGUCGUGAGAUGUUGGGUUAAGUCCCGCAACGAGCGCAACCCUUGUCUUUAAUUGCCAUCAUUUAGUUGGGCACUUUAAAGAGACUGCCGGUGUUAAGCCGAGGAAGGUGGGGAUGACGUCAAGUCCUCAUGGCCUUUAUGACCAGGGCUACACACGUACUACAAUGGCCGGUACAAAGGGCAGCCACUUAGCGAUAAGGAGCCAAUCCCGUAAAGCCGGUCUCAGUCCGGAUUGGAGUCUGCAACUCGACUCCAUGAAGUUGGAAUCGCUAGUAAUCGCAGAUCAGCACGCUGCGGUGAAUACGUUCCCGGGCCUU
Molecule: ribosomal RNA, 476 nt
Filed under: uncultured Desulfocapsa sp.
Lineage: Bacteria; Pseudomonadati; Thermodesulfobacteriota; Desulfobulbia; Desulfobulbales; Desulfocapsaceae
Description: bacterial SSU rRNA
Rfam family: Bacterial small subunit ribosomal RNA
Source: RNAcentral